CAACCACAAAAAAAAGGUAAAAUUUCAUAAUAAUACUAACUCAAUAAAGGUCCGAAACUGAAAAGAGAUUAAGAAUGAAGAAUAAAUUAUCUCAUCUUACUACAUAGUGUUUUAGCUAAAAUAAUCAGAAGUCAGAAAAAAAGCAAAAAGAUAAAAUCUGAGACAAAGCAAUCCUCCGAACACAAAUGUGUGUGAUAGAGUACCAACGCAAAGAACCAAAAAAGCAAGUCAGAAGAAAAAUAAUGACCAAAAUGCCAAAGUCAGCACGAAGUAGGAAGGCACAUGCCUAAAGCCCCAAAAGCCCAGCCACCAGCUAAGAGG
RNAcentral lists this long non-coding RNA (321 nucleotides) under Brassica napus (rape). Its description in RNAcentral is "long non-coding RNA (BNAP_LNC013807)". Lineage: Eukaryota; Viridiplantae; Streptophyta; Magnoliopsida; Brassicales; Brassicaceae. The record is from RNAcentral.